This 865-nucleotide long non-coding RNA is filed under the name Pan troglodytes (chimpanzee). RNAcentral describes it as "long non-coding RNA NONPTRT012772". Lineage: Eukaryota; Metazoa; Chordata; Mammalia; Primates; Hominidae. The record is from RNAcentral.
AGUCACUAUGGUUUCCAUUUGAAAUUACCCAAGUUCUAGAGCUGUCCCGCUGGCAAGCGGCUCUACAGGAAUUACCACGGACACUGCUUCUUGAUACAUAUCUUGCUUUCUGUUUUGCUUUGGCUCUAAAUGCCAAAUAUAAAAAUCAUGUCAUUUUCAGUUUCAUUUAAGAAACGGACCCUUGAUUGUCAUGACGAGUCCACUGGAGGUUACUGUCUGGAAUCCUGCACCCACCCACAGCUGAGAAAGAAAAAAAUAUUUUGAAAACAAUUCUAAAAGAAAAAUAAGAGGUGGAAAAGCUUAGGUACCAGGCAUUCACACUUCAUCAUUCCUUGUACAGUGUUGACCGGACUACUUGCCUGGUCCCAGACCAGUGUUCAGCACCGGGGAGAUGUAGUGGUGAGCAGGACAGAGAAGGCCACCACCUGCUCUGAGCAGGUGAAGGAAGACAGACAAUUAAAUGAGCAAUUGCAAUGGCAUGUGCUGGAGGAGAAGAGCUCUGCAGUUUACUACAAAGAGGCCAAGUGAGGGUGACCACUGGGAGAGGGGAGAGGCUACAUUACCUGGAGGAAAUUUGUGGUUCUCAAAUGCUGAGCUCUAAAUGUGUCAUCUAAUCUAAGGGUAUCAUGUCUGCCCUUGAUUGCUAGGAAAACACUAGAGUUCUAGGGUAAGACAUUGGGUGAAGCGAGGUGGGGAUGCCUCUUUGUUUUUCCAUCCAUAUGCAACUGCAGGAUGUACAGCACACUGUUUGUUACUUGGGCCAGUACCUAUAUCAAGAGAGGACAUUGGAUUUGAAAAAGAAAAAGAAAGUUCUACCCUCAGGGAACUUAUUUAAUAAGGAUGUAAUGUGACAUUUUAAAAUCAA